GAAGCGGCAGCUGCGAAUAUCAAACCAACUUCAGCCGGGGAAUACGAGGCUGCGAAUAUCGAGCCAAACGAAUCUGGAGCUGCGAAUAUCAAACCAACUUCAGCCGGGGAAUACGAGGCUGCGAAUAUCGAGCCAAACGAAUCUGGAGCUGCGAAUAUCAAACCAACUUCAGCCGGGGAAUACGAGGCUGCGAAUAUCGAGCCAAACGAAUCUGCAGCUGCGAAUAUCAAACCAACUUCAGCCGGGGAAUACGAGGCUGCGAAUAUCGAACCAAACGAAUCUGGAGCUGCGAAUAUCAAACCAACUUCAGCCUCGUUGAACGCGCUUCAGCUGGGUUUAACCUAAUCAGAGUUGAGUAACCUAACUCUGAUCAGCUGCUGUGGAACUGAAAACUCGGAGUAUGACGCGGUGAGGUAAGUCAACUCGGAGUUCAGGGUUAGGUUUGGAGUUUGUUGAACCAGCUUUCUGGAAUACCCCCCAGGCCUUUAUUAAAGUAAAUCAGCCGGAGGACAGUAGGACCUGGGAGGGUGGAGGCCUAAUGGGCAACCUGCCCCUUUAAAAAUAAAAAGAUGGUCUGGAGAGGAGAGAGCAGGUAAGCUCUUUUUUUUAAUGUAGCACUUUGUAACAGUUUUACCCUGUUUGAUAUCUUGACUGAGUUCCUGCAGUGGUUGUGUUGUGUAGGUGCUGCUGGGUAGGGUAGUGUUGUUUGAAUGAUUUGAGCCGCUGUUUGUGUGGGAGAGGAGUCGAGACGCAGAGCAGAGAGCAGUGUCGGACAGGUGCUGCUGGAGCUGUUUCACUAAAUUCAGGUCUUUCAGUGGGACAAGACAGUAUUAAUUGUCCAAGUUGCACAAGAAGGCUGCGGUGCUCCUGAUUGCCGUUCCUCCCUGUGUGCCAAGAGGAUGUGUCCGGGCCAGGGUAUCCAAGAGGGGAUACCAAGGGUAUCGUGUAUUUUAAAGGAAGUGCACUAAGUAAGUGACUAAAAAAAAUAAUAUUUGAAUAGUAAUGUGUGUUUUGGCAGGACCUGCACAUGGCUAAAGGUUGAAGAUAUUGGCCAUUGUUUUCUAUAUUGCUUUCUAUACUAUGUUCUGUAUUGAUUUCUUAUAUAUUCUGGCAUUUGUAUUUCGGUUCUAUUCUUUGAUCUAUAAAUUACUGUGAAUUUUUUGUUUUGCUUUUUUCUAUUGAUUUAGAUUUAUAGUUAUAUUUUGUGUUUCAGAGCUUUG
Molecule: long non-coding RNA, 1220 nt
Organism: Astyanax mexicanus (Mexican tetra)
Lineage: Eukaryota; Metazoa; Chordata; Actinopteri; Characiformes; Acestrorhamphidae
Exons: 3
Source: RefSeq, a predicted model, not a curated record